GUACCUACGGGGGGCAGCAGUGGGGAAUAUUGCACAAUGGGGGAAACCCUGAUGCAGCAACGCCGCGUGAGUGAAGAAGUCAUUCGUGAUGUAAAGCUCUAUCAGCAGGGAAGAAAAUGACGGUACCUGAGUAAGAAGCCCCGGCUAACUACGUGCCAGCAGCCGCGGUAAUACGUAGGUCCCGAGCGUUGUCCGGAUUUAUUGGGUUUAAAGGGUGCGUAGGCGGGCAUUUAAGCCGGCGGUCAAAUGUCGGGGCUCAACCCCGGCCUGCCGUCGGAACUGGGUGCCUUUAGUGGGCGAGACGG
This 305-nucleotide ribosomal RNA is filed under the name uncultured bacterium. RNAcentral describes it as "bacterial SSU rRNA". It matches the Rfam family "Bacterial small subunit ribosomal RNA", at positions 335 to 658 of the family's 1533-position model. The record is from RNAcentral.